RNAcentral lists this unclassified non-coding RNA (295 nucleotides) under uncultured fungus. RNAcentral describes it as "sequence contains ITS1". Lineage: Eukaryota; Fungi. The record is from RNAcentral.
UUGGCUUAUUUAAUCAUAGACUUAGACAUAAACAUGUUUAGUUUAGAGUUUAAUGAGUUGGGCCAUCGACGGGCGCAGGCCAGAGGACGUCUCUCGACAAAUCCUCCGGCGGUCGUUUACGACGGGCCCGCCGAAGCAACAAAAAGUUUGAUAGACAUAGGGUUGGGAGGUCGGGCCUGGAAGACCCUAACUCGUUAAUGAUCCUUCCGCAGGUUCACCUAAAAAAAGGGAGUUAGCAAAGGCCAACAAAAAUGAGAUAACAAGGAUUAAAACACAGCUUACUCACCUACGGAAA